Vicugna pacos (alpaca) is the source of this 98-nucleotide non-coding RNA. Lineage: Eukaryota; Metazoa; Chordata; Mammalia; Artiodactyla; Camelidae. The record is from RefSeq and is a predicted model, not a curated record.
GGGAAGAAGUGAAUUUGUUAGUACAGGAUUGAGGUCAGAGGGGACAAAAAAGGGAAUAAAGUUAUGGAUAGAGAGAUUAACCAUAAACUUAGUAAGGG